AUCGUUCAACUUCUUAGGAAGUCGGAAGUAGGUGAAAACCGAAGGAACGCACC
This 53-nucleotide non-coding RNA is filed under the name unclassified sequences. The record is from Rfam.